AGAUACAGAGUUAUCUCCCUUCUCGGGAGGUGGGAUUGAUUCCGGUAUUCAUCGUACAGCUCUUUACUUCUUGUUAAAUGAUGAAUUAUGAACAAGUUACUACGUGCAGAUAUAUUUGUCGUCAUCCUGUCAAUUAUCAGCAAUAGUGCGUAUGCAGGUUUAUCCAAGCCGAAUGUUCUGUUCAUUGCCGUUGAUGAUUUGCGACCAUCACUAGGUUGCUAUGGCAACAGUUUGAUGGUCACGCCUAACAUUGACAACCUGGCCAGUAAAUCAGUGUUGUUUAAUAACACGUUUGUACAGCAAGCUCUUUGUGGACCUAGCAGGACAUCAUUUUUGACCAGCCGACGACCUGACACAACCCGCCUGUACGACUUCUACUCCUACUGGCGUAAGGCAGCCGGCAACUUCACAACACUGCCGCAGCACUUCAAGCAGAAUGGCUACUUCACACAGUCUGUCGGCAAAGUGUUCCAUCCAGGUGUGUCAUCCGGCCACACCGACGACUACCCCUACAGCUGGUCCGUCCCCGCCUACCACCCCCCAACACAGGCAUACAAGAUGGCCAAGGUAUGUCCCGGACCCAAGGGGAAUGUGUACAUGGACAUCGUGUGUCCAGUGACGGUCAAGGACCAGCCUGGAGGAUCACUGCCGGACAUACAGAGUCGCGAAUUUGCUGUCAACUUUCUCAAGAACAUGUCAGCCAAUCACAGCCAGCCUUUCUUCCUGGCCGUGGGCUUCCACAAACCCCACAUACCGCUCAAGUACCCUAAGGAAUAUAGGGAUCUGUACCCUCUGAACAAGAUCCAGCUGGCCCGCCAUCACACAUUUCCCCUGCGGCUCCCCCUGGUGGCCUGGAACCCAUGGACGGACCUGAGGGAGAGGGACGACAUUCAGAGUCUCAACCUCAGCUUCCCGUUCGGACCAGUCACCGAGGAGUAUCAGCUGUUGAUGCGGCAGAGCUACUACGCGGCCACCAGCUACAUGGACAGCCAGGUGGGGCUGCUGCUUGAGGCUCUACACACACACGGCUUCUCCAACAACACCAUCGUGGUUCUAGUCGGAGACCAUGGUUGGUCCCUGGGAGAGCAUCAGGAAUGGUCCAAGUACAGUACCUUUGAGGUAUCGGUCCGUGUGCCACUCAUUAUCCAUGUUCCAGGGCUCACGGACAAAGACACAGACACAGACACCACCUUCCAGUACCAAGAUCCUUUAAAACAGGUCCACAAUAAUGAAAAUUACAACAGAUCAAAUCUUGUACAAACUCAACGUAAAAAAAUUGAUUCACAGAAAAAAAAUUAUGUCAAGGAAUAUUAUGUCAUCAGAUCUAAAGAUUUUUCACAACAGAAAUACAAAGUUUCAAACGACCUGAUAGAGUUAGUGGACCUGUUUCCGACAAUAUCGGAAUUGGCAGGACUGGAGGUGCCAUCAACAUGUCCGCCAAAUCCUUUCAAGAUUGACCUCUGUACUGAAGGAGCUAGUGCAGCAAAGAUCAUCCACAAUAUAAGUCACACUGAUUCAUCCAGACAGAAAACUCAACUGACAUGGAAGAGUGCUGUGUUUAGUCAGUACCCUCGUCCGUCAGUGGAGCCCCAAGAGAACAGCGACAAGCCCCACCUGAAGGACAUACGUAUCAUGGGGUACACGAUGAGGACGCAGCAGUAUCGAUACACUGAGUGGGUCCAGUUUGAUCCCGGGACGUUCCACAUGAACUGGUCUCGUGUGUAUGGGACAGAGCUGUACCUACGGGACUCCGACCCAGAUGAGGCUGAAAACAUGGCCUACUUUCCCUCGUAUGCCGAGCUGAGAUCAAGUCUGUCUCGGGUUCUUCAUGAAGGGUGGAGGAGUGUGUUACCAACAUGAUAUUGUUUGCAUUAUUUUGUUAUUUAUGAAUUAUGAAAUUUGCAAAAAAUAUUGUCUUUGCUAAAAUUAUGAAAUUUAUUGAACACUAGUUAAAAUAAAUCUGAUGUUGAGCAGGGCUUCUGCUCUACAGUUCUUAGAACUGGGACUGUUUUAAGUCUUAAUUAAGUAUGGGAUCACUAAGAUUGCUUGGUUGAAUUGGGCUUGUUACAAUAAAGUCUUAGUUAAGUAUGGGAUCACUAAGAUUGCUUGGUUGAAUGGGGCUUGUUACAAUAAUGUCUUAGUUAAGUAUGGGAUCGCUAAGAUUGCUUGGUUGAUAGGGUUUUGUUACAAUAAAGUCUUAGUAAAGUUUGGGAUCUCUAAGAUUUUAAAACACUCACUCAUUUAUCACCAUUCUCCUGAUUGGCUAGAAAUGCACCAAACCAUCAUUUGUCUCAUUUGUGACCCAUUUUGUUGAUUUAUAUACAUAUAAUCAUUAGUCCCAAUUUCUAGUUAUUUAUCGUUUGUCACCCUUCACCUCAUUGGCUUGGAAUGUACCAAACCAUCAUUUGUCACCUUUCACCUGAUUGGCUAGAAUGUACCAAACACCACAGUACAGUGGACAUUCACAUAAAUGCCUGUUAUUCUGAAUUAUGUAUUUAUUUAUUUAAGAAUGAUAAUGCUUGCAAUAAUUGUAUUGUUUUUAUCGAUUUAUAUACUUGAAUUCAAUCAUUAGUUUCUAAUUUCUAGUAAACUACGGUUAUAAUGAGCUCAAAGGGGCCACUAAUUUUUAUUCGUUAUACCCGUAGUUCAUUAUAAGCAUAUGUACUGCUAAGGGAUGGGACCAAAAAACAGUUUGUUAUAGCCAUCAGUUCGUUAUAAGCAUCUUUGUUAUAAUCAUAGUUUACUGUAUUUAUGAACACAGUUAAUUAUUGACACCAUCUAACCAUGACAUGUUUUGGAUUUUAUCUGCCUAUGAAAUAGGUCUGUGGUUUCUCUGAAACUAACUUACCCAGCUCUGAGAAAAAUGAACAAUCAUAUUUUUAUGAGAUUGUGAUAUCCAAUUGGCAAUAUGGAAUACCUUCAAUAUAUAUAUUAUCUUGCAUUUAAACCUUCUACCUGAUCAACUAUUUCUGUAUUUUAUGAAAUAAACUUUUCUCUGAAA
This 3001-nucleotide unclassified non-coding RNA is filed under the name Haliotis rufescens (red abalone). RNAcentral's name for it is "iduronate 2-sulfatase-like, transcript variant X1". The record is from RNAcentral. Lineage: Eukaryota; Metazoa; Mollusca; Gastropoda; Lepetellida; Haliotidae.